Molecule: ribosomal RNA, 809 nt
Filed under: Caucasotachea leucoranea
Lineage: Eukaryota; Metazoa; Mollusca; Gastropoda; Stylommatophora; Helicidae
Description: partial large subunit ribosomal RNA
Rfam family: Archaeal large subunit ribosomal RNA (bases 328-572)
Source: RNAcentral
GUUUAUUAAAAUCUUUGUUGAAUCAAAUUCCCGAAUGGUUGUGAGCUAUAUAUAUAUUAAGUAUUACGUUGUAGAGUAAUAUCAUAAUGUGCAUAUAGGGGUGAUAGGCCUAACAAACUGCUUGAUAACUGGUUGUAUAGGAAAAAUAUUAAGUAGUGAGUUAGACUAACAAUGUUAAGCUUGUUAGUUAGCAUAAAAUAAAGUAUUUCAAAGUUGUACAGUGUAAAAGCUAACAAUAUUUGGUUUAAAUAUUCCACUUAUAUGAUUGUGUCAUUUACUGUAUCUAUUGUUUAAGGCAACGUUAGAUAAUGUAAAUAUAAGUAAUAACAAAGAUUCGUAUUAAAGGAACUCGGCAAACAUAUACUGCUCAACUGUUUAUCUAAAACAUAACCACAUGCAAGAUAUAUGUGGCUACUUCUGCUCCAUGGUAUACUAAAUAGCCGCAGUACUCUGACUGUGCAAAGGUAGCAUAAUCAUUUGGCCUCUAAUUAGGGUCUGGUAUGAACGAAGUUAUGGGUGGUUGCUGUCUUAAUAUGUUUUAAUUAAUUUAAUGUGCAAGUGCAAAUACUUGCGUGGAUAAAAUAGACGAGAAGACCCUAGAAGCUUGAUUUUUUUUUGCUGGGGCGGCAGAAUUACAGUUAACUAAUUUUAUAUUACAAGACUUUCAAAGUCAGUUAAAGCUACUCUAGGGAUAACAGCAUAAUAUUUUAAAGUUUGUGACCUCGAUGUUGGACUAGGUACCCUGUUUCUUAGAAGGGAGCGGGAUGGGCUCUGUUCGAGCAUUGACACCUACAUGAUCUGAGUUCAGA